GAAUGUGAGGACAAUCUGGCUAUGACAUCUGUCACCCCAGUGAUCUCCAGGGUUGACUCAGCUGAUCUGGCAGGUCAGGAGGGUGUCCCCUUCCUACCUCACCGCUCCAUGUACGUCCCUCUGGGAGCUGCAUGUCCAGUCAAAGAGAACGAUCUUCCUCAAAUAGAGUCAAUGUAGCUGUGCUCCCCUUCGAGAACCCCAAACAAGCUCUCAAGGUCCAAAUACCUGUCUACAAGUUAAUACUGUGCUGAUGUUUGCCAUCUCAAAGAAGUGAAGUCAAAAGUGCUGUGUGGGUUAUGCUAAAGGCUUGCUUUUUUUU
This is a non-coding RNA of Mesocricetus auratus (golden hamster), 319 nucleotides long. NCBI's taxonomy places the organism in Eukaryota, Metazoa, Chordata, Mammalia, Rodentia, Cricetidae. The record is from Rfam.